GAUGAACGCUGGCGGCGUGCUUAACACAUGCAAGUCGAACGAUGAAGCCCAGCCUGCUGGGUGGAUUAGUGGCGAACGGGUGAGUAACACGUGAGUAACCUGCCCUUAACUCUGGGAUAAGCCUGGGAAACUGGGUCUAAUACCGGAUAGGAGCGUCCACCGCAUGGUGGGUGUUGGAAAGAUUUAUCGGUUUUGGAUGGACUCGCGGCCUAUCAGCUUGUUGGUCAGGUAAUGGCUCACCAAGGCGACGACGGGUAGCCGGCCUGAGAGGGUGACCGGCCACACCGGGACUGAGACACGGCCCAGACUCCUACGGGAGGCAGCAGUGGGGAAUAUUGCACAAUGGGCGCAAGCCUGAUGCAGCGACGCCGCGUGAGGGAUGACGGCCUUCGGGUUGUAAACCUCUUUCAGUAGGGAAGAAGCGAAAGUGACGGUACCUGCAGAAGAAGCACCGGCUAACUACGUG
Molecule: ribosomal RNA, 466 nt
Filed under: uncultured bacterium
Lineage: Bacteria
Description: partial 16S ribosomal RNA
Rfam family: Bacterial small subunit ribosomal RNA
Source: RNAcentral